UUAAGCUCUGACAUUGCAGGACGAUCUCCCAUCCCCUGACCGCAACAGCAUGGACCAAAUAAGUGACAAAGGAAAUAUGGAAUGUGCUUGCCAACCUGGCCUCCGGACAUUAAUGGCAGAGUACUCAAGAGAAGAAAAAGACGUGGCAAAUUUCCUACUAGAAAUGGCGUCACGGACAAGGCCUACAGAAAGCAAGGCUGCCCAAGUGUGCGUCGGGUACUUUUCCACAGAAGUUUGUGAACACGAUAAAUAGUAGCAACGUAAAUACAUUCACAGGCCUGCCAUCAUUCGAUGUUCUGAAUGCUCGUGUGACGUGCUACACAAAAAUUCAUCCACUUUCAGGACGGCACCAGUUAUGUGUAAAAACAAUUGCAUUGACAUUGGUGAAAUUGAAGCAUAUUUCCACUGCAUUCUUGAGUCACCUUUUUAACUGUUCUCUAACUACAUGUAGCAACAUAAUUGCAGAGACUGCUCAGUUGAUGUGUGAAAUUUUAAAAGUAACUGUGGCUGUGCCACCAAAAGAUGAAUUCCAGUGGCACGUUUGCAUAUUCGGCAUUAGGUGAUUCACCUGAAGUCGUGCCAUGGCUGGCGAUAUUGCAAGUAGCCUGUAUUGCAUAGAGGCAUUUGUGCGUGUGACCUUGGCUCCAUCAAAGCGUGGCGGCCUUGGGAGUAAGUGCGGUCUUCUGUUUGGAAAUCCAGCAUUUUUUAUGCCACUCAGCCACUUCAUACUUUUCAGACACGGUCGUUGCCAUGUGAUCUACAUGCUGCACUUGUUUGCAUUGGCCAAACCUGCAGACUUCAACUUCAACACACUUUUUGUAAAUUAGCAAUGCACAUUCUUUUGCAACUUGUAUUCUUCAUUGAAGUGCUGAUUUACACUACGCAUUCUGAUGCAAGUUUUCAUCUUAUGGUAUUCCGAGAUAUUUGCAGUUCACUUAUGAUCUGUGUCAUAGAGUUGUGGUUAUUCUUCAAUGGCUGUUUGUUGUCCCUUUUCUUACUUAUAUUUUUUCACAAAAUAAACCACAUGCACUCAA
Non-coding RNA from Dermacentor albipictus, 1034 nucleotides. The record is from RefSeq and is a predicted model, not a curated record. Lineage: Eukaryota; Metazoa; Arthropoda; Arachnida; Ixodida; Ixodidae.